RNAcentral lists this ribosomal RNA (225 nucleotides) under uncultured bacterium. Its description in RNAcentral is "partial 16S ribosomal RNA". It matches the Rfam family "Bacterial small subunit ribosomal RNA", at positions 1267 to 1500 of the family's 1533-position model. The record is from RNAcentral.
GCGAAUCUCGAAAGCCUGUCUCAGUUCGGAUUGGAGGCUGAAACCCGCCUCCAUGAAGUUGGAUUCGCUAGUAAUCGCGCAUCGGCCAUGGCGCGGUGAAUACGUUCCCGGGCCUUGUACACACCGCCCGUCAAGCCAUGGGAGCCGGGGGUGCCUGAAGUUCGUGACCGCAAGGAGCGACCUAGGGCAAAACUGGUGACUGGGGCUAAGUCGUAACAAGGUAAC